RNAcentral lists this ribosomal RNA (484 nucleotides) under uncultured bacterium. RNAcentral's name for it is "partial 16S ribosomal RNA". It matches the Rfam family "Bacterial small subunit ribosomal RNA", at positions 30 to 507 of the family's 1533-position model. The record is from RNAcentral.
AUUGAACGCUGGCGGCAGGCCUAACACAUGCAAGUCGAGCGGAUGAAGGGAGCUUGCUCCUGGAUUCAGCGGCGGACGGGUGAGUAAUGCCUAGGAAUCUGCCUGGUAGUGGGGGAUAACGUCCGGAAACGGGCGCUAAUACCGCAUACGUCCUGAGGGAGAAAGUGGGGGAUCUUCGGACCUCACGCUAUCAGAUGAGCCUAGGUCGGAUUAGCUAGUUGGUGGGGUAAAGGCCUACCAAGGCGACGAUCCGUAGCUGGUCUGAGAGGAUGAUUAGUCACCCUGGAACUGAGACACGGUCCAGACUCCUACGGGAGGCAGCAGUGGGGAAUAUUGGACAAUGGGCGAAAGCCUGAUCCAGCCAUGCCGCGUGUGUGAAGAAGGUCUUCGGAUUGUAAAGCACGUUAAGUUGGGAGGAAGGGCAGUAAGUUAAUACCUUGCUGUUUUGACGUUACCAACAGAAUAAGCACCGGCUAACUUCGUG